UUACGCUUGCGCCCUGAUGGUUCCCCUGACCGGGAUCAAAAGGGAACGCAGUGAGGCGCAGCAAUGCGCCGAGUCUGCGGCUGCCCCCGCAACUGUAAGCGACGAGUUCGCGCCACUCAUGACCACUGGGACACCGGGAAGGUCGGCGCAGAAUGACGACUCGCGAGCCAGGAGACCUGCCAUCGACCGAGGUCUGCG
This 198-nucleotide non-coding RNA is filed under the name Burkholderia sp. Lineage: Bacteria; Pseudomonadati; Pseudomonadota; Betaproteobacteria; Burkholderiales; Burkholderiaceae. The record is from RNAcentral.